AGAGUUUGAUCAUGGCUCAGGAUGAACGCUGGCGGCGUGCCUAAUACAUGCAAGUCGAGCGAACGGACGAGAAGCUUGCUUCUCUGAUGUUAGCGGCGGACGGGUGAGUAACACGUGGAUAACCUACCUAUAAGACUGGGAUAACUUCGGGAAACCGGAGCUAAUACCGGAUAAUAUUUUGAACCGCAUGGUUCAAAAGUGAAAGGCGAUCUUGCUGUCACUUAUAGAUGGAUCCGCGCUGCAUUAGCUAGUUGGUAAGGUAACGGCUUACCAAGGCAACGAUGCAUAGCCGACCUGAGAGGGUGAUCGGCCACACUGGAACUGAGACACGGUCCAGACUCCUACGGGAGGCAGCAGUAGGGAACCUUCCGCAAUGGGCGAAAGCCUGACGGAGCAACGCCGCGUGAGUGAUGAAGGUCUUCGGAUCGUAAAACUCUGUUAUUAGGGAAGAACAUAUGUGUAAGUAACUGUGCACAUCUUGACGGUACCUAAUCAGAAAGCCACGGCUAACUACGUGCCAGCAGCCGCGGUAAUACGUAGGUGGCAAGCGUUAUCCGGAAUUAUUGGGCGUAAAGCGCGCGUAGGCGGUUUUUUAAGUCUGAUGUGAAAGCCCACGGCUCAACCGUGGAGGGUCAUUGGAAACUGGAAAACUUGAGUGCAGAAGAGGAAAGUGGAAUUCCAUGUGUAGCGGUGAAAUGCGCAGAGAUAUGGAGGAACACCAGUGGCGAAGGCGACUUUCUGGUCUGUAACUGACGCUGGUGUGCGAAAGCGUGGGGAUCAAACAGGA
RNAcentral lists this ribosomal RNA (787 nucleotides) under uncultured bacterium. RNAcentral's name for it is "bacterial SSU rRNA". It matches the Rfam family "Bacterial small subunit ribosomal RNA", at positions 8 to 777 of the family's 1533-position model. The record is from RNAcentral.